Transfer RNA from Plasmopara halstedii, 73 nucleotides. It matches the Rfam family "tRNA". Rfam says of the family: Transfer RNA (tRNA) molecules are approximately 80 nucleotides in length. Their secondary structure includes four short double-helical elements and three loops (D, anti-codon, and T loops). Further hydrogen bonds mediate the characteristic L-shaped molecular structure. tRNAs have two regions of fundamental functional importance: the anti-codon, which is responsible for specific mRNA codon recognition, and the 3' end, to which the tRNAs corresponding amino acid is attached (by aminoacyl-tRNA synthetases). tRNAs cope with the degeneracy of the genetic code in two manners: having more than one tRNA (with a specific anti-codon) for a particular amino acid; and 'wobble' base-pairing, i.e. permitting non-standard base-pairing at the 3rd anti-codon position. The record is from Rfam. NCBI's taxonomy places the organism in Eukaryota, Oomycota, Peronosporomycetes, Peronosporales, Peronosporaceae.
UCUCCUAUAGCUCAAUUGGUAGGGCGUGCGGCUGUUAACCUCAAGGUCGCUGGUUCAAACCCAUCUUGGAANN